GUAUCUGGCUUCGGCGGUACAUAUACAAAAAUUGGAACGAUACAGAGUAGAUUAGCAUGGCCCCUGCGCAAGUAUGACACGCAAAAUCGUGAAGCGUUCCAUAUCUUG
RNAcentral lists this small nuclear RNA (108 nucleotides) under Trichobilharzia regenti. The record is from RNAcentral. Lineage: Eukaryota; Metazoa; Platyhelminthes; Trematoda; Strigeidida; Schistosomatidae.